RNAcentral lists this transfer RNA (73 nucleotides) under Ovis aries (sheep). It matches the Rfam family "tRNA". Rfam says of the family: Transfer RNA (tRNA) molecules are approximately 80 nucleotides in length. Their secondary structure includes four short double-helical elements and three loops (D, anti-codon, and T loops). Lineage: Eukaryota; Metazoa; Chordata; Mammalia; Artiodactyla; Bovidae. The record is from Rfam by way of RNAcentral.
UCCCCGGUGAUCGAGUGGUUAAGAUGCUGCACUUCCAAUGCCAGGGAUGCAGGUUCAAACCCUGAUCAGGGAA